AAACGUACAUUAGGUUGGUUGAACCGAGACAAUAUUGCUAAAGUUAGACAAUGACCCCUUUGGCAUUUAAAAUAACUAGAAUUUUGACCCUCUCAAUCCUUGUAUUUAUCUACACCAAUAAAUUCCCACUCAACUCCAUCCACCAUUCAUUCCUUCUCUUCUUUUCAUUUCCCAUAAACCUCCCUCUCUCUUUCUCUCAUUAAGCAAACACCUAGCACUUCUUGAUCUCAAGGCUCUUCACUCGAGUUUUAAAUUUGGGUCCGCGAUUAUAAUCGAGUAUCUCUCUAUCCAUAUCGCAAUUGUAAGUGCAGACACAUUGAUAACCAUAUUUUUCUACAAUUAUCUACAGCUCGAAUAUUUUUUUGGAGUAUCCUUAAUCGCAACUUCGAUCACAAUUUAAAAUGUUCAACAUCAAGUAAAUCUCAAUGUGGUAGUUUCAAGGGGUGGUUUGAGAAGGAUAACUUUGUUUUGGUAUAUGAUGCUGAAAGAUGAUGAUGGCUCCUAAGGUGGUAGGUAGAGACACCCGCAAGUGUUUGAUGGUAAAUGUGGAGGAUUCAAAUGAGAGUAAUUGUACUACUUGCAUGUUAAAAUUCAUGAUCAUAAUUUUGAGUCUUCUUACUUUAUCCAUUCUAGUGUUGCCAUUGGUGUUGCCUCCUUUGCCACCACCACCAUUGCUUCUUCUCUUUGUUCCCGUUUUCAUCUUGUUGCUUCUCUUUCUCUUGGCAUUUUCACCUCCCACACUUCCAAAUAUGGCUGCUUUGAAUUCUUGAUGUGUAACAAGUUGUGUAGCCUUUUCAAGAUCUAUGCAUGUAAGUUCCAAAAAGAAUAAUUAAUAAGCAAUGCUAUAUGAUGAGUAGUUUCUUAUCUUUCUAUGUUUAGUAGAUCAACUUAGCUAACACCGUUCCUCCUUUGUUCUUGUGGUGGGUUUUUAUUUCCAUUAAUUAUAUGUCAUUUUUUGGUUCCUAUAUGAUGUAAUCAUAUAAUGUUAAUAUCUCAAGUAGAAGAGUUAACCAAAUGAUUGAGAUGGUAUUGAAUGGGGACAAUUAGAGUCAUUGAAUUUGCACAUAUACAAGUGGAUGGUUCAUGUCCGUUAUGCUCUCAUGGCAUUGAUUUACUAGCUUUAUUGAGUCCUUAGAUACAUUUUUGGACUAGUUGAAGAGACAAUUACAUUGAACUGUACUUGUGUUAAAGACUUGAGAUUGUUACAUUUGGAGCCAAAUAUUUUCUCUAAAACAUUGUAGCACUCUAUGUAUCAUUUGUUUUUUAUUGAUAAAAAAAGUAAAACAUAAAUUAAAAAUAUAUUAAUUUUAUAUUUGGGACAG
This 1322-nucleotide long non-coding RNA is filed under the name Lupinus angustifolius (narrow-leaved blue lupine). Its description in RNAcentral is "long non-coding RNA (LANG_LNC002744)". The record is from RNAcentral. Lineage: Eukaryota; Viridiplantae; Streptophyta; Magnoliopsida; Fabales; Fabaceae.